RNAcentral lists this unclassified non-coding RNA (1826 nucleotides) under Hevea brasiliensis (rubber tree). Lineage: Eukaryota; Viridiplantae; Streptophyta; Magnoliopsida; Malpighiales; Euphorbiaceae. The record is from RNAcentral.
GACAUAUCAUUGUAAAGAGCUCGUCUGCGCAGCAUAUAAGAAGCACAUGGUCCGCUAUAACAUAAUGAAAAUGGUAAGGUUUUCAUUUCACAUAUAACAAAUAUCUCAUCUAUUCCGUAGAGCUGAAAAUAAAAACUAAAAUAUAGCUAAUCCAAGAUGGAUAAUCGCAUAAUUCCUCAAAAAUUAUAUACCUCAAUAAUAACUAAUUACUGAUUCUUUUGAAGUUCAGAAUCAACUGGAAAAUUGAGACCCUUUUAGGUAACAGAAUAUCUACAUUUUUUUCCUAUUUGGCAACCAUUUCUCCUAAGCAUACAGCUGCAAUGAGAAAUGGUCAUAUCUUUACUGCAAUGAGAAUGGUCAUAUCUUUACUCAUAAUAAUAAGCUCAUGAAGGAUAGGAACUGCUAUUUCAAAGAAACAGACACUGCAAUGUCAAGCAGUGGAGCAAUUUCAUUCAUCCAACUCUGCUUAUUCAGAAAGUAAUAAGCAUGACAAACUUACGGCCAAAACACUAGGAAUCAUAUCCCUUACUGACAAAGAGUCUAAUUCAUUUAGAAAAGAAUCCGCUAUUAGAAAUUAGCCAAACAAACGUUCCGUCACAAACAGAUACAAAAAAAGCAAACAAAGAUCCAAAGGCUAUGUCAAACAAAAAAAGAUGAGAGAUGAGAGAACUUACCAAAACAGUGCGAAACAGCAAUCUGUACGUUAGAGGGACAAAAAAUAAUCAGAGAAGCUCUAAAAAAAGUAACAUAAAAAAUUGAUCAGUGACUCAAUUUUCUAUUUGGUCACUGGGAAAACAAAGAAGUAGUAAUAAAUUCUACAUAAAAAAAUAAAAAUCUCAUGUUCUCAAGCAUAAAAAUUCAUAAUACUCAGUUGAGAGUAGCUCUAAAAUGUGACUUUAGUGUUUCUAAUUUUUCAAUUGUUUCCUCUUCCUACAUUUUUACAAAGAACCAAUCAGUGCAGAGCUAAAAGAACAACAGAGCAACAAAACGAGAAACAAGAGUUAGUCCCAUGGCAGAUGAGAAGAAAGGAGAAAAUAUAAAUUAAAUUACACGGAAUUUUACGUUUAAGCAAAAUCUCAAAGUCAAACUACGCCAAAAGGUAGAAUUAUGAUUACUUUACGGAGUUUCAUUUUCCAGGAAGCCAAACAGAUCAUUUUCUUUUUAGCGAAAAGAGGACAUCUUAAAAAAUGAAAUUAAACGGAAACUAAAUAUGGCCACAAAUGAAUACUAAUAGAAACUCUCGAUCCAGUGGAGCUACUCUCUUCCUAUAUAUCUUUUGUCUUCAACACAAAAUAAUGAUCUCAUUCACAGAUCAAAACUAACGCAAAAAAUAAAAAUUCUCAACUCAAAAUCGCAAUUAUGAAUGGCGUUAUAAAACGAAGCUGAUGAAUUUUCUCAGGCAGCCAAACAAAAACUUAAGACAUUUAGUGAAUUAAACGAUGAGGAAAAAGAUAAAAAAGGAAAUGGAAAUAGAUGAAUACAAGGAGUGUCGGCAACGACAGUGCUCAAGAGAUCUGUGUGCCAGAAAUUCCUGUAACUCUGACGCAUCUGCAUUUUCUCAACCCGAUCGUCCAGCCCCAUUUUCCUUGCGAUCCAAAGAGAAAAACCAAAAAUAAUAACAAUAAGUCUACUGCUUUUGCAAAGAAACUAAUGGGGGAGAUAGAGAAGGAGGAAGAGGAAGGGGGAAAGAGAGAGAAGUUUGGAAACGGAAUUGAAGCGUCAAAGACGACUCUUAAAUAUAAAAUAAGGGGCCAUGGUCAUCAAACAAGUGCGCAAGAAGGAAACGCUAAAGGAGAAAGAGCAGCCGUUCGUUUUGGAAGUUGCAC